UACGAAGGGGACUAGCGUUGUUCGGAUUUACUGGGAGUAAAGCGCGCGUAGGCGGAUCGAUAAGUCAGGGGUGAAAUCCUGGAGCUCAACUCCAGAACUGCCUUUGAUACUGGCGAUCUCGAGUCCGGGAGAGGUGAGUGGAACUGCGAGUGUAGAGGUGAAAUUCGUAGAUAUUCGCAAGAACACCAGUGGCGAAGGCGGCUCACUGGCCCGGUACUGACGCUGAGGUGCGAAAGCGUGGGGAGCAAACAGG
RNAcentral lists this ribosomal RNA (253 nucleotides) under uncultured bacterium. Its description in RNAcentral is "partial 16S ribosomal RNA". It matches the Rfam family "Bacterial small subunit ribosomal RNA", at positions 524 to 776 of the family's 1533-position model. The record is from RNAcentral.